GGAAGAGCAUGAAUACUGAGACCCGAAAGAUAGUGAACUAUGUCUGGGUAGGAUGAAGCCAGAGGAAACUCUGGUGGAAGUCCGAAGGCGUUCUGACGUGCAAAUCGAUGCUCAAACCUGGAUAUAGGGGCGAAAGACCAAUCGAACUAUCUAGUAGCUGGUUCCCUCCGAAAUUUCCCUCAGGAUAGCUGGAGCAUUUACAGUCUUAUCAGGUAAAGCGAAUGAUUAGAGGAUUCGGGAAAUUCAGUUUUUUCGACCUAUUCUCAAACUUUAAACAGGUAAGAAAAGCAUGUUGCUUGGUUGAACAUGUUUAGACGAUGUAUGCUCUUAGUGGGCCAUUUUUGGUAAGCAGAACUGGCGAUGCGGGAUGAACCGAAAGCGAUGUUAAGGUGCCUCACUACGUGCUUAUUUAGAAACCAUAAAAGGUGUUAGUGCAUAUAGACAGCAGGGCGGUGGUCAUGGAAGUCGAUAUCCGCUAAAGAGUGUGUAACAACUCACCUGCCGAAUGCACUUGCCCUGAAAAUGGAUGGCGCUAAGCACGUGACCGAUACAUUGCCGUCGAAAAAUUUUGUGUUUUUUUUUCGGCGAGUAGGAGGGCGUCGAGUUUGCGUCGAAGUUUUGCGCGUGAGCCAAAAUGGAGCAUUCUUGAGUGCAGAUCUUGGUGGAAGUAGCAUAUAUUCAAGUGAGAACCUUGAGGACUGGAGUGGAGAAGGGUUCCAUGUUUACUGCGAUUGGACAUGGGUGAGUCGAUCCUAAGAGAAGGAGAAAUUUCCUUUUAAACAUGAAAGAUACAUUGAGAUGUUUUUUCUAAAUCGAAAGGGAAACAGGUUAAUAUUCCUGUACCAAAUGGCGGAGUGUAUGCGGCAACGCAACUGAUUUCGGAGAUAUUAACGUAAACUCUGGAAGGAGUUUUCUUUUCUUUUUAACAGUUUUAUUUUCCACGGAAGCGAGUCGUUCGGAGAAGUGGAAGUAUUAUUGGAAGAACGGUUUUUUUACUACAUUUUUUUUGUAAAGUUUAAUACCGUCCGGUUUGUUUGCGUUGAUCCUUGAAAAUCUGAAGGAAAAAUAAACUUUCGCAUUUGUUCGUACUCAGAACCGCAUCAGGUCUCCAAGGUGAGUAGCCUCGAGUCAGUAGAUAAAGGUGAGUAAGGGAAGUCGGCAAAAUGGAUCCGUAACUUCGGGAAAAGGAUUGGCUCUAAGAGUUGACUGUUUUCUUUCUCUUUUAA
RNAcentral lists this ribosomal RNA (1226 nucleotides) under Cryptomonas paramaecium. Its description in RNAcentral is "Cryptomonas paramecium partial Eukaryotic large subunit ribosomal RNA". It matches the Rfam family "Eukaryotic large subunit ribosomal RNA", at positions 794 to 1984 of the family's 3401-position model. Lineage: Eukaryota; Cryptophyceae; Cryptomonadales; Cryptomonadaceae. The record is from RNAcentral.